AUUGAACGCUGGCGGCAGGCCUAACACAUGCAAGUCGGACGGUAGCACAGAGGAGCUUGCUCCUUGGGUGACGAGUGGCGGACGGGUGAGUAAUGUCUGGGGAUCUGCCCGAUAGAGGGGGAUAACCACUGGAAACGGUGGCUAAUACCGCAUAACGUCGCAAGACCAAAGAGGGGGACCUUCGGGCCUCUCACUAUCGGAUGAACCCAGAUGGGAUUAGCUAGUAGGCGGGGUAAUGGCCCACCUAGGCGACGAUCCCUAGCUGGUCUGAGAGGAUGACCAGCCACACUGGAACAGAGACACGGUCCAGACUCCUACGGGAGGCAGCAGUGGGGAAUAUUGCACAAUGGGCGCAAGCCUGAUGCAGCCAUGCCGCGUGUAUGAAGAAGGCCUUCGGGUUGUAAAGUACUUUCAGCGGGGAGGAAGGCGGUGCGGUUAAUAACCGCGUCGAUUGACGUUACCCGCAGAAGAAGCACCGGCUAACUCCGUGCCAGCCGCCGCCGUAA
RNAcentral lists this ribosomal RNA (506 nucleotides) under uncultured bacterium. Its description in RNAcentral is "partial 16S ribosomal RNA". It matches the Rfam family "Bacterial small subunit ribosomal RNA", at positions 29 to 523 of the family's 1533-position model. The record is from RNAcentral.